Molecule: ribosomal RNA, 566 nt
Filed under: uncultured bacterium
Lineage: Bacteria
Description: partial 16S ribosomal RNA
Rfam family: Bacterial small subunit ribosomal RNA
Source: RNAcentral
UGGGGAAUUUUGGACAAUGGGCGCAAGCCUGAUCCAGCCAUGCCGCGUGCGGGAAGAAGGCCUUCGGGUUGUAAACCGCUUUUGUCAGGGAAGAAAUCUUCUGAGUUAAUACCUCGGGAGGAUGACGGUACCUGAAGAAUAAGCACCGGCUAACUACGUGCCAGCAGCCGCGGUAAUACGUAGGGUGCAAGCGUUAAUCGGAAUUACUGGGCGUAAAGCGUGCGCAGGCGGUUUUGUAAGACAGAGGUGAAAUCCCCGGGCUCAACCUGGGAACUGCCUUUGUGACUGCAAGGCUUGAGUGCGGCAGAGGGGGAUGGAAUUCCGCGUGUAGCAGUGAAAUGCGUAGAUAUGCGGAGGAACACCGAUGGCGAAGGCAAUCCCCUGGGCCUGCACUGACGCUCAUGCACGAAAGCGUGGGGAGCAAACAGGAUUAGAUACCCUGGUAGUCCACGCCCUAAACGAUGUCAACUGGUUGUUGGGAAGGUUCCUUCUCAGUAACGUAGCUAACGCGUGAAGUUGACCGCCUGGGGAGUACGGCCGCAAGGUUGGAACUCAAAUGAAUUGAC